UAGGGUUCGAUCCUGGCUCAGAGUGAACGCUAGCGGCGUGGAUUAGGCAUGCAAGUCGAGCGCGAAAGUGAAUAAAGGAUUCCUUCGGGAUGACUGCAUUUGCGAGUAGAGCGGCGAAAGGGUGAGUAAUACAUGGCUAAUAUGCCCCCAACACUGGAAUAACUUCGGGAAACUGGAGCUAAUGCCAGAUGGUCUCAUGAAACCUCAUGGUUUUUUGUGUAAACGGUAGGGAUCCCUUCGGGGACCUUCUGGUUGGGGAGUGGGUCAUGCGCUAUCAGCUUGUUGGUGAGGUAAUGGCUCACCAAGGCUAUGACGGCUAGGCGGUCUGAGAGGAUGGCCGCCCACAUCGGGACUGAGACACUGCCCGGACUCCUACGGGAGGCUGCAGUCGAGAAUCAUCCGCAAUGGGCGAAAGCCUGACGGUGCGACGCCGCGUGAGGGACGAAGGCUCUUGGGUUGUAAACCUCUUUCGCCUGUUAAGAAUUCUUGUUGGUUAAUAGCUUUCAAGUUGACAAAGGCAGGUAAAGAAGCACCGGCUAACUCCGUGCCAGCCGCCGCGGUAAUACA
Molecule: ribosomal RNA, 567 nt
Filed under: uncultured Planctomycetales bacterium
Lineage: Bacteria; Pseudomonadati; Planctomycetota; Planctomycetia; Planctomycetales
Description: bacterial SSU rRNA
Rfam family: Bacterial small subunit ribosomal RNA
Source: RNAcentral